GAGAUGCUAGUAGAAUGCCAACAACACUGCCUUGUCAAGACAGAACUGCAAGUUAAACCCUUGCGCAUCUCU
Molecule: transfer RNA, 72 nt
Filed under: Channa pulchra
Lineage: Eukaryota; Metazoa; Chordata; Actinopteri; Anabantiformes; Channidae
Description: tRNA-Asp
Source: RNAcentral